AUGAUAUCCUCAGUGUUGGUUUGGAUGGUGAUGAUGCGACUCCUUCCAAUUGGCCAGAGUUGUAGCGAGGAGACUCUGACGAACUUUAACCAAACGAAUUGUGACAUCUGUCCUCCUGGCUAUCACGCGUCGGAAGCCAUGGCCGGCGGAUACCAAUGCAAGAGGUGUGAGCGCCACACCUUCACCGCAAUAAAAAACUACGUGUCCAAGUGCGAGAGAUGCUCCACGUGUGAUGGAAAUGGCAUGAACGUGUUAACGGAAUGCGUCUACAACAGGGAUGCUUUGUGUGUAUGCCAAGAUGGAUGGUUCCCCAAUUACUUUAUGAACAAAUUGCAAAACUGCUUCCCUUGUUCCGGGCUCCGAAGGGAUGCUGACAUAAGGAAAGAAUGUAUUCGGACGCCACCUGAACCAAGGAAUCUGAACCAGGGUCAGAAGUCAACCUCCGCCACCAUCCUCAUAACCUCUACGGGGCAUGGCCGAUCAGAGGGGAGAUUAGAGCCAUCAAGACCCAGCCCCAGCCCACCAACUGAGCAGGCAAACAACAACACCAUGCUGAUGGUUGUGAUAGUGGCGGUGGUGGCGGCGGCGGUGGCCUUUCUGAUCUGUAACUGGUUAACAGCCGUGGCCCGCAUCCUGUACCGCACCCGACUGCCUGUGGCCAGCGAUGACCCGGAGUCCAAUUCCCUGGGUUGGAGGUUGACCGGGGGGUUCAUCUCUUGCUAAAAAAAAAAAAGCAUGGCAAAGAAUGAAUACAAACCAAAAAUGUAUGUCAAAAUAAUUAAUAGUAACAAUAAACCAUGAUUGUCACCUUGCAUGGUUGACUCUGCCGUCGGUGUGUUAAUGUG
RNAcentral lists this long non-coding RNA (845 nucleotides) under Gadus morhua (Atlantic cod). Its description in RNAcentral is "lncRNA (ENSGMOG00000028885.1)". Lineage: Eukaryota; Metazoa; Chordata; Actinopteri; Gadiformes; Gadidae. The record is from RNAcentral.